CCAGCGCUCCACCUUGCGGUUUUAUUUCUCAAUCCGAUUGGUGGGACUCGAGGUGUUUCGUAGCGCAUCACCGCCUCUACGGAGACGUUUUGUUUGUUUCUGUCUUGUGUACUUGCACCUUCCAUUCCAGAGCGAAAUCAAACUCAGAUACCGCAGUCCCGUAACACACGCCAAGAACUCCGCAGCUGCGCGCUCUCUCACGUUACCACAGGCGCAUCGCAACUUCAAAACAAACCAAGAAAAGUCCACCGAAGCGGCCACCCUCUCCCUGAAAAACAAGCGGGGCGAUAUCUCGCUAUUCACCUCACAUACUCUUACAAGGCGCGGCAGAAGAGGUGAAGAUGACGUCUAACGGCCUGGCAUACGGUGUCGCUGUCUGCGCGUGGUUGGGGGGGGCCUUGCUCUUCAUGGCCCUCUGCUUCAUUUUUCCCUGCGUUUCGAAUUGCUGUUGCCCUACUCGGGUCUGCACCGAGAGCAGGAGUGUACAUCGCAAGGGCAACGUGACCGAGGUCUGACAAUGAGAUGGGGUGGCACCACGUUGGCAAACACAAUGUAGGACCCUUGCUAUACUCCCUGUGGGUUUUGAUGCGCCCAUGGCCCCUUGCAUGCCUAGAGAGAGAAGGAGAGAGUCCCCCCGUCGCAUCUGCAUUCCUUAUAUAUGUGUAAAUAUAUGCGCAUGCGCGCGUGCGUGGGUGCUGCCAUUAGCCUGGCAUGACCACGGCCCUUUCAUUGGCUUAUUUAUGGGCUCAUGAACGGGUGUGCAUGCGUUUUGUUUCGCUUUUUCUUUUCUUCGCGGGUUGGUUGAUGUGUAGGGUAAAGCAUGUAUGUUAUUUUUGCACGUAUUCCUCAAUCGCCUCUUUCUCUCGUCUCGCUCUCAUAUCUUUAUUUCUUUCCCUCACCCACUUUCUCAGCGUGGCGUGAGAGGUGCGACUCGUAGCGUGCGUGCGCGUAUAUGUGUGCUCGUGUGAAGCAAAGACGUAAUUCCAGCACCUUGCGCGCACUGCAUCCUCUCCUUCCACACAUAAUUGCGUGAGUGAAGACUUCUUUUUCUUACUUCCUCUUUCUGGCGGCGAGAGUGCUCUGUCGGACUAGAUGGCACACUACUUUUAUCAUGUCGCCAUUCCUCUUCGUGUUUUUCAGCGCCGACGCAUUCGCUUGCCGUACUUGUCGCCCAUGGCGGAACGCUUCUCGAUGUGUAUUUGUACUCACGCGCGCCUGCCAUGCUGCCGAGCGCGAGGCGACAGCUG
RNAcentral lists this unclassified non-coding RNA (1247 nucleotides) under Leishmania donovani. RNAcentral's name for it is "gene:unknown". The record is from RNAcentral. Lineage: Eukaryota; Euglenozoa; Kinetoplastea; Trypanosomatida; Trypanosomatidae.